ACCAGGGACUCAUCACCUGUUCGUCGUACGCUACCACCACCCUCUUAUGAUAGAAUUAGUGAUGACCCAAGAAGAUCUCCCAGUAGUCGUCGUAGCCAGAGUCGUGAAUAUUCUGAUAAAGAGUAUUCAGACAGAGACAAAGAUCGGGAUCGGGAUUUGGACCGUGAAAGAGACCGAGAGAGGGAACGUGAUCGGGAUAGGGAUAGGGAACGUGAAAGAGACUGGUACAGGGACCUCGAACGAGAGCAAGAGCGGGGCCGAGACAGAGACCGGGACAGGGAGAGGGACAGAGAGAGAAAAUAUGAUUAUGAUCAGAGGUCCAGGUAUUCUGAGAGAGAAAGCAGAAGGGACUAUGAAAGGAGCAGCCGUGAUGGAAGUAGGCACUACAGAGAAAGUAGCUCACGUAGAAGCCAUAGCCGGAGUAGGAGUCGCAGCCGGAGCAGGAGCAGAAGUCGAAGUGUGCAAAUUGGUGUGGCACCAUUUGAUCGUCAUUCCAGUCCAUACAAGGAUGUAAGCAAGGAGAAGACAUCUGCAUCUAGCAAUUUGGCGAAGCUCAAGGAUCUGUAUGGUGACUUAGGUGAUCAGAAAGGGGAUUCUGUUCUGGAAAGAGUACCUCGAAGGGAUAAUGGUGGUGAAGAGGUCAUUAGGCUUGGUGGUUCUACAUG
This 665-nucleotide unclassified non-coding RNA is filed under the name Hevea brasiliensis (rubber tree). The record is from RNAcentral. Lineage: Eukaryota; Viridiplantae; Streptophyta; Magnoliopsida; Malpighiales; Euphorbiaceae.